GUAGGUGGCAAGCGUUGUCCGGAUUUACUGGGCGUAAAGAGCGCGCAGGCGGUCGAUUUAGUCGUGUGUGAAAGCCCCCGGCUCAACUGGGGAGGGUCACGCGAUACUGAUCGACUUGAAGGCAGGAGAGGGUAGUGGAAUUCCCGGUGUAGUGGUGAAAUGCGUAGGUAUCGGGAGGAACACCAGUGGCGAAGGCGACUACCUGGCCUGUUCUUGACGCUGAGGCGCGAAAGCUAGGGGAGCAAACGGGAUUAGAUACCCCGGUAGUCCUAGCCGUAAACGAUGGACACUAGGUGUUGGUGGUAUCAACCCCGCCAGUGCCGAAGCUAACGCAUUAAGUGUCCCGCCUGGGGAGUACGGCCGCAAGGCUA
This 371-nucleotide ribosomal RNA is filed under the name uncultured bacterium. RNAcentral describes it as "bacterial SSU rRNA". It matches the Rfam family "Bacterial small subunit ribosomal RNA", at positions 527 to 896 of the family's 1533-position model. The record is from RNAcentral.